This 188-nucleotide long non-coding RNA is filed under the name Neodiprion lecontei (redheaded pine sawfly). RNAcentral's name for it is "uncharacterized LOC124294726". Lineage: Eukaryota; Metazoa; Arthropoda; Insecta; Hymenoptera; Diprionidae. The record is from RNAcentral.
GGCAAGACCAGUCAUCCGUUUAAUGCUUGAGCCUUAAUUAUCUCAUCGCGUUUCCGACACUUGCCAAAUCAGCAUCAAGCUCUAUGCCAGAUUUUCACGAGUAACAGCAGCUCCAACCGGUUGUACGAAUUGUAAACGAAUGCAGAGAGAAUCGAAAUUUUUGAAUGAAGAAAAUAAUCAUCCGGCAA